RNAcentral lists this transfer RNA (71 nucleotides) under Actinoplanes sp. TBRC 11911. It matches the Rfam family "tRNA". From Rfam's summary of the family: Transfer RNA (tRNA) molecules are approximately 80 nucleotides in length. Their secondary structure includes four short double-helical elements and three loops (D, anti-codon, and T loops). Lineage: Bacteria; Bacillati; Actinomycetota; Actinomycetes; Micromonosporales; Micromonosporaceae. The record is from Rfam by way of RNAcentral.
UCGGCCGUGGUGAAAUGGCAUCACCCCUGGUUUUGGUCCAGGUAUUCCGGGUUCGAGUCCUGGCGGCCGAG